CUUGGUAGUUAUAGCGCAGGUGCCACACACGACUCCAUUCCGAACUCGAACGUGAAACCCUGCAGCGCCGAUGGUACUACAUCAUAAGAUGUGGGAGAGUAGGUCAUUGCCAGGC
This 115-nucleotide ribosomal RNA is filed under the name Candidatus Sneabacter namystus. The record is from RNAcentral. Lineage: Bacteria; Pseudomonadati; Pseudomonadota; Alphaproteobacteria; Rickettsiales; Rickettsiaceae.